Molecule: ribosomal RNA, 554 nt
Filed under: uncultured bacterium
Lineage: Bacteria
Description: partial 16S ribosomal RNA
Rfam family: Bacterial small subunit ribosomal RNA
Source: RNAcentral
UAGGGAAUCUUCCACAAUGGACGCAAGUCUGAUGGAGCAACGCCGCGUGAGUGAAGAAGGUUUUCGGACCGUAAAGCUCUGUUGUUGGUGAAGAAGGAUAGAGGUAGUAACUGGCCUUUAUUUGACGGUAAUCAACCAGAAAGUCACGGCUAACUACGUGCCAGCAGCCGCGGUAAUACGUAGGUGGCAAGCGUUGUCCGGAUUUAUUGGGCGUAAAGCGAGCGCAGGCGGAAGAAUAAGUCUGACGUGAAAGCCCUCGGCUUAACCGAGGAAUUGCAUCGGAAACUGUUUUCUUGAGUGCAGAAGAGGAGAGUAGAACUCCAUGUGUAGCGGUGGAAUGCGUAGAUAUAUGGAAGAAUACCAGUGGCGAAGGCGGCUCUCUGGUCUGCAACUGACGCUGAGGCUCGAAAGCAUGGGUAGCGAACAGGAUUAGAUACCCUGGUAGUCCAUGCCGUAAACGAUGAGUGCUAAGUGUUGGGAGGCUUCCGCCUCUCAGUGCUGCAGCUAACGCAUUAAGCACUCCGCCUGGGGGAGUACGACCGCAAGGUUGAAAC